This 502-nucleotide ribosomal RNA is filed under the name uncultured bacterium. Its description in RNAcentral is "partial 16S ribosomal RNA". It matches the Rfam family "Bacterial small subunit ribosomal RNA", at positions 28 to 507 of the family's 1533-position model. The record is from RNAcentral.
GAUUAACGCUGGCGGCGUGCCUAACACAUGCAAGUCGAGCGGCAGCGAGUUUUACACUGAAUUCUGGAAGCUUCUAGUUGAAAGAGAAGAUUUAUUCAAGAAUUUUGUGUAAAAUGUCGGCGAGAGGCGGACGGCUGAGUAACGCGUGGGAACGUACCCCAAAGGGAGGGAUAACGCAUCGAAAGGUGUGCUAAUACCGCAUAUGGUCUUCGGAUUAAAGCCUUCGGGCGCUUUGGGAACGGCCUGCGUAAGAUUAGAUAGUUGGUGGGGUAAUGGCCUACCAAGUCGACGAUCUUUAACUGGUUUGAGAGGAUGAUCAGUCAGACUGGAACUGAGACACGGUCCAGACUCCUACGGGAGGCAGCAGUGAGGAAUCUUCCACAAUGGGCGAAAGCCUGAUGGAGCAACGCCGCGUGCAGGAUGAAGGCCUUCGGGUUGUAAACUGCUUUUAUAAGUGAGGAUUAUGACAGUAACUUAUGAAUAAGGAUCGGCUAACUACGUG